GCCUGCAGGCAUACACACGGACAGAAUAUUGUAUACAUAAUAAAUAAAUAAACAAACAUUUAAAAAAAAGACACCUAGAAUACUGACACCAGUGUUUUGUUUCUAUGACAAUUCAAGAGCACCUGGCACCUGCUAAAAGCUACUGAACCUGUACUGUAAGUCCCCUGUCCCAUUCACCUACCAUCUGUCUCUGGUGCCACACCCUUCAGAACCUGUAGUAGUCAAGUUCAGGCCAGAGGAGCACGUCGGAGUACUAUCCCUAGAAGUUAAGUAUGCCCAUAAACUUUAAGAGGUGACUGAUCUAUAAACAACUAUACUAGCCAUGUGAAAAAGGGCACUAAUUUUGCCUGUAAAUGGCCAAGGUAACAUUUACAGGGAGCUGACAUUUGAGAUGAAACAUGGAAGAGACUCAAGGUACUGCCUAAAGAAAAACAGAAAUUUCAAAGGAAUUUCAUAGUAGCAACCAUGACUGAGGUAUGAGCGAUGAAGCUAGCAUCCUAAUGAUAGGUAGCCAAGAAACACAGCACAGGACCCUGAAUAUAAGGGUUUAGAAUGGACUUUAUCUUUAAAAGACCUUCAGAAUUUAGCUACAUGUAGUGGUGUGGUGAAUGCAUACAGUCCAAGCGUUUGGCAGGGUGUGGCAAGACCAAAAGUUCAGGUCUAGCUUAAGUUAUACAGUGAAGACAGUCUGGGCUACACAGUGAGGAUCUGUCUGCAGAUAAACUGUUUCUUCCUUACCCAAGCCUCAGUGAAUAAUUUAAAAAAAAAAAGUUUCUAUUUUAGGAUAACUUGGUGGCACCUAUGUAAAAGUAUGAUUUUUUUUUUUAAAAAAAAAUCAAACCAAGGGUGAGGAUGGAGAUGAAAAUAUCCAUUUAUACCCUGGCAAUUGCAUGAAUAAGAUGCAAGUGUCGAACCAUCAGGAUUUGACUAAACAAAUGGAAAUGCAAGGGAGAAAAUGAAGUGAAAAGUAAGCUUCCUAGCAGACAGCAAAGGAGUGGGGAAAAGGCAGUAGGAUUUGGUUUGGCAAUCGGAGACUUAGGGAGAAAAGGGCCUUAGAGAUUACAGGACUUAAGAGGAAGGCCAGAUGGCUGGAACAUUGGUCCUCAGUGAGAAAAGGAGCAGUUAGAGGUGAGGGAAGUCUAGUAAGGCCACGUUCUAGAAGCUGUAACUUUUAACCACAACAAACUGGUAGGAUGAGAGCUGGCUGAGAUUUAGAUGGCUGGAGUCAAUAGUAGAUGUCUUUCAUCUCAGUUGCUCCAGAACAGGGCAGGUGACUGCUUUGUUGACAAACUUGAAAACAGGCAUCUUCUGACCAUGCCUGGCCAGGGGAAGCCAGCAAGUCAGUGAAGCCCAUCAUAUGGUGUCUCACUUAUUUUAUCUUUACCUGCUGUGCCCUUUCCACUCAGAGCCCCGAUGCCCAGACAGAAGACGGCGGCAGCAGCCACUGAACCAUCGUCCUACCACAAGCAGCCUGGCCCCAUCCCCAACUCUUGCUAGUUCUGGCCCAGCCUCCUCACGAAAUCUGGGCUCCUGUCUACUGCCCAAUUCACUCAGCUUAUCAGGGAGCAGCUGCUCAUUCCCGUCUUCAGGGGACAAGUCAGAGGCUGUCAUGGUGAUUGGGAAAAGUCUGCUAGGGGCUGGUGCUCGGAUCCCCUGCAUUAGGACUCGUUUGCAGACUUGCCCGAGGAGAGUUUCCGCCAGGAGGGGUCCCGGAUUCCCCAGGCUAGGCCCAGGUUGGGCCGGAGCUCACCGCCGACUCGCAGAGGGAUGAGAGGCUCUACAAGCCCCACAUCCCCUAUCCCCCAGACCAGAGAGAGCAGUGAGCUGGAGCCGGGACCCCGCUCUGCUACACCAGGGCUGCCUCAGGCCGGCCCCCCACGGCCCCACUCUGCCCCUGCCUUUUCUCCUAAUUCCUGUACUCUAUCUGACUCCCCAACCCGGAUUUGUUACAGCAAGGGGCCCCUGAACCAGUGUGAGGUUUGUUUCAUCCCUAAAUCUCCAUCACUCACUAUUUCUCCCAGGGUCUGACCAUGCCUUUACCUCCAUGCCCAGGACAUAGACCUAAGGUGAGGGAACACAGUGAACGAUACGUUAGUCCCGGCUUCCAGCUGCUGGUAUCAUGUGACAACAUAGCUCCUUGGGAUACCACGCGUCCAAGGCCUUGCAGAACAUCACCUUGAGACAGAACAAAACAGGGACCUGCCACCCCUUCCCUCCCUCCACAGCACAAGAUUUUGGGACCACAAAAAAAUAUAUAUAUUUAUAUUUUUGUAUUGGGGGGAGGGAAUAGAAAAGAAAGCAGCCCCUAUACUGGGCCCUAUUCAGUGGCAGCUUCUUGUUCCAUA
RNA transcript from Microtus ochrogaster (prairie vole), 2345 nucleotides. It is a transcript of the gene named cytosolic carboxypeptidase-like protein 5, with no coding region annotated. Lineage: Eukaryota; Metazoa; Chordata; Mammalia; Rodentia; Cricetidae. The record is from RefSeq and is a predicted model, not a curated record. The transcript has 5 exons.